Molecule: long non-coding RNA, 408 nt
Organism: Tachyglossus aculeatus (Australian echidna)
Lineage: Eukaryota; Metazoa; Chordata; Mammalia; Monotremata; Tachyglossidae
Exons: 4
Source: RefSeq, a predicted model, not a curated record
CCCCAAAGUCUGAAGCCGGUCCCCAAAGAAGUGGCACAUACAGCCUGGGCCAGAGCAGAGCUUAGAACAAAGAUGGAGAGCCAGAAAAGUGUACCUGUGACCCAGAAGGAAUGGAAAAGAUUCCACCAGAGAUUUCUCCACUCCAGACUCACCCACUGGCAACUGUGCUUGGUGUUCCAGUUCAACAACAACUUCAAACAAGACAUCUACCAGGAAUGAGGCCAGAAUCAAGAAUUAAUGCACAAAUCUAUGUUAAUCUUCAGACCCAGCAAUUUGGACCAAUCUCCCAUCCCAGAGGACUCUAUGGACCUCAGAAAAUGAAGAUUACUUAGCAAGGUGGUCUGUGACAAUGCACCGGAACAAAGUGGCAGAACGCUUCUUCCUCUUUGCGCAUUUUUCUCCCAAGCA